AGGACGAACGNUGCCGGGCGUGCUUAACACAUGCAAGUCGAACGAUGAACUUCCUUCGGGAGGGGAUUAGUGGCGAACGGGUGAGUAACACGUGGGCAAUCUGCCCUGCACUCUGGGACAAGCCCUGGAAACGGGGUCUAAUACCGGAUACGAGCCUGGGAGGCAUCUCCCGGGUUGGAAAGCUCCGGCGGUGCAGGAUGAGCCCGCGGCCUAUCAGCUUGUUAGUGAAGGUAAUGGCUCACCAAGGCGACGACGGGUAGCUGGUCUGAGAGGACGAUCAGCCACACUGGGACUGAGACACGGCCCAGACUCCUACGGGAGGCAGCAGUGGGGAAUAUUGGACAAUGGGCGCAAGCCUGAUCCAGCCAUGCCGCGUGAGUGAUGAAGGCCUUAGGGUUGUAAACCUCUUUCAGCAGGGAAGAAGCGCAAGUGACGGUACCUGCAGAAGAAGCCCCGGCCAACUACGUGCCAGCAGCCGCGGUAAUA
Molecule: ribosomal RNA, 486 nt
Filed under: uncultured Streptomyces sp.
Lineage: Bacteria; Bacillati; Actinomycetota; Actinomycetes; Kitasatosporales; Streptomycetaceae
Description: bacterial SSU rRNA
Rfam family: Bacterial small subunit ribosomal RNA
Source: RNAcentral